UAAGACGAGGGGUCCUAGCGUUGUUCGGAAUCAUUGGGCGUAAAGCGUAUGUAGGUGGCCUUAUAAGUCAGGUGUGAAAGCCCCGGGCUCAACCCGGGAAGUGCAUUUGAUACUGUUUGGCUUGAGUACCGAAGAGGAUAGUGGAAUUCCAGGUGUAGUGGUGAAAUACGUAGAUAUCUGGAGGAACACCGGUGGCGAAGGCGGCUAUCUGGUCGAGUACUGACACUGAGAUACGAAAGCGUGGGGAUCAAACAGG
This 256-nucleotide ribosomal RNA is filed under the name uncultured bacterium. RNAcentral's name for it is "partial 16S ribosomal RNA". It matches the Rfam family "Bacterial small subunit ribosomal RNA", at positions 521 to 776 of the family's 1533-position model. The record is from RNAcentral.